This 336-nucleotide ribosomal RNA is filed under the name uncultured bacterium. RNAcentral describes it as "bacterial SSU rRNA". It matches the Rfam family "Bacterial small subunit ribosomal RNA", at positions 568 to 898 of the family's 1533-position model. The record is from RNAcentral.
UGCGCAGGCGGCCAUGUGUGUCAGGUGUGAAAUACCGGGGCUUAACCCCGGAACUGCGCCUGAAACUACAUGGCUAGAGUACUGGAGAGGGUAGUGGGAAUUCACGGUGUAGCAGUGAAAUGCGUAGAUAUCGUGAGGAACACCAGAGGCGAAGGCGACUACCUGGACAGUUACUGACGCUCAGGCACGAAAGCGUGGGGAGCCGAAAGGGAUUAGAUACCCCUGUAGUCCACGCCCUAAACGGUGCACACUAGGUCUUGGCGGAUUCGACCCCGCCGAGGGCCCAAGCUAACGCGUUAAGUGUGCCGCCUGAGGACUACGGCCGCGAAGGCUAAA